This 289-nucleotide long non-coding RNA is filed under the name Capsella rubella. RNAcentral describes it as "long non-coding RNA (CRUB_LNC000821)". The record is from RNAcentral. Lineage: Eukaryota; Viridiplantae; Streptophyta; Magnoliopsida; Brassicales; Brassicaceae.
AGAUCUUGUUGGCAAUGAAUGUGAUGUAACUGAUGCCAAAAUGGAGAUUACAAAAAAAAAAUGAAGACUUGAAUUGGAAUUGGUAACACAAUAACACGAUAUGAGACAUGUUUAUGAUAACAUAUCUAGAGUUUUUUUUUUUUUUUUUCAUUUUUUUUUUCAUUUUCCUUUGUAAAGUAGAAAGAUAAAGAGAACAUAUUAUUGGCGUAAAAGUUUCAUAUAAAUAUAUUGUCAUUAGUUGUAUCUUUAUUGGUCGAAUUAUUUAACUUAUCUUAUAAUUAUAAGCAGG